ACCAUUCACAUUGUUCGCCAAAGAACCAAUCGCACCACCGGCGCCUCCAUCACCACCACCACCACCAUUCACUUGGUUUAAUUUGCCGAAGUACCACCGCAAUAUCGAACCCAUCCCCUCCGCCAUCAGCACCACCACCACCAUUGCCAAACUGACCACCCAUGCCGAACUCUCCACCACCCAUGCCGAAGCCGCCACCACAACCACC
This 208-nucleotide long non-coding RNA is filed under the name Hordeum vulgare. Its description in RNAcentral is "long non-coding RNA (HVUL_LNC004533)". Lineage: Eukaryota; Viridiplantae; Streptophyta; Magnoliopsida; Poales; Poaceae. The record is from RNAcentral.